Long non-coding RNA from Octopus sinensis (East Asian common octopus), 151 nucleotides. RefSeq lists it as uncharacterized. The record is from RefSeq and is a predicted model, not a curated record. Lineage: Eukaryota; Metazoa; Mollusca; Cephalopoda; Octopoda; Octopodidae. The transcript is spliced from 3 exons.
AUAUACAUAUAUAUGUGUAUGUUUUUAUUUUACAUUAUAAUAAAAACAAUUUUUCAUUAAUCUCAUGGGUUACUCUGUUCUUUUGUAGAGUACAAAUUUAUUGUUCUUAAAUAAGAAUAUUACUGAUAGUGACUUCAAAGUUUUGGCCAGU